UGGGGAAUUUUCCGCAAUGGGCGAAAGCCUGACGGAGCAAUGCCGCGUGGAGGUAGAAGGCCCACGGGUCGUGAACUUCUUUUCCCGGAGAAGAAGCAAUGACGGUAACUGGGGAAUAAGCAUCGGCUAACUCUGUGCCAGCAGCCGCGGUAAUACAGAGGAUGCAAGCGUUAUCCGGAAUGAUUGGGCGUAAAGCGUCUGUAGGUGGCUUUUUAAGUCCGCCGUCAAAUCCCAGGGCUCAACCCUGGACAGGCGGUGGAAACUACCAAGCUGGAGGACGGUGGGGGCAGAGGGAAUUUCCGGUGGAGCGGUGAAAUGCGUAGAGAUCGGAAAGAAAACCAACGGCGAAAGCACUCUGCUGGGCCGACACUGACACUGAGAGACGAAAGCUAGGGGAGCGAAUG
This 404-nucleotide ribosomal RNA is filed under the name uncultured bacterium. RNAcentral describes it as "partial 16S ribosomal RNA". It matches the Rfam family "Bacterial small subunit ribosomal RNA", at positions 355 to 774 of the family's 1533-position model. The record is from RNAcentral.